UUUUUUGGGGUUAGAAUAUGUUAGAAUACAAUAAGUUCGAUUGAUUACAGUUGCUAGAUAUGCAUGAAGAGUGUUUAGAAGUGAGUAAAAAGACUUGUUGAAAUUUGGUCCCAAAUGGGCUAAGAAUCCAUAAAACAUGUCUUUUCAGCUGUAAAUGGUUUGUCUAGUGUUGUUUGGGGUUAGAAUAUGUUAGAAUACAAUAAAUUUGAUUGAAUACAAGUGCUAGAGAUGCAUGAACAGUGUUUAGAAGUGUGGAGAAAGACUUGUUGAAAUUGGAUCCCAAAUGGGCUAAGAACUCGGAAACAUUGCGUUGAACUACUAAAUGACUUAUCUAGUGUUGUUUGGGGUUAGAAUAUGUUAGAAUACAAAAAAUUUGAUUGAUAACAAGUGCUAAAGAUGCAUGAAAAGUGUUUAGAUGUGUUGAGAAAAACUUGUUGAAAUUGGGUCCCAAAUGGGCUAAGAACUUGAAAACAUUGCGUUGAACCACUAAACGACUUUUCUAGUGUUGUUUGGGGUUAGAAUAUAUUACAAUACAAUAAAUUUGAUAGAUUACAAGUACUAAAGAUGCAUGAACAGUGUUUAGAUGUGUUGAGAAAGACUUGUUGAAAUUAAAUCCCAAAUGGGCUACGAACUCGGAAACAUUGCGUUGAACCACUAAAUGACUUAUCUAGUGUUGUUUGGGGUUAGAAUAUGUUAGAUUACAAUAAAUUUGAUUGAUUACAAGUGCUAGAUAUGAGUGAAGAGUGUUUAGAAGUGUGUAAAAAGACUUGCUGAAAUUUGGUCCAAAAAGGGCUAAGAACCCACAACCAUUGAUUUGAAGCAUUAAAUGGCUUGUGUAGUGUUGUGUGGGGUUAGAAUAUGUUAGAAUACAAUAAAUUCGAUUGAUUACAGGUGCUAGAUAUGCAUGAANNNNNNNNNNNNNNNNNNNNNNNNNNNNNNNNNNNNNNNNNNNNNNNNNNNNNNNNNNNNNNNNNNNNNNNNNNNNNNNNNNNNNNNNNNNNNNNNNNNNAUGAAAGAGUGUUUAAAAAGUGUGAAAAAAGUCUUGGUUGAAAUUUUGUUCCAAAAGGGGGCUAAAGAAACUCAUAAACCAUUUCUUUGAGGCAGUGAAUGGCUUGGAUAAAGUUAUUUUGGGUUAGAAAAUGUUAUAAUACAAUGAAUUUGAUUGAUUACAAGUGCUAGAGAUACAUGAAGAAUGUUUAGAAGUGAGAAGAAAGACUUGUUGAUAUUUGGUCCCAAAUGGGAUAAGAACCCAAAACCAUUGCUUUGAGGCAGUGAAUGAAUUGUCUAGUGUUGUUUGGGGUUAGAAUAUGAUACAAUACAAUAAAUUUGAUUGAAAAAAAGUGCUAAAGAUGCAUGAAAAGUGUUUAGAUGUGUUGAGAAAGACUUGUUGAAAUUGGGUCCCAAAUGGGCUAAGAACUUGGAAACAUUGCGUUGAACCACUAAAUGACUUAUCUAGUGUUGUUUGGGGUUAGAAUAUGUUAGAAUACAAUAAAUUUGAUUGAUUAUAAGUACUAAAGAUGCAUGAAGAGUGUUUAGAUGUGUUGAGAAAGACUUGUUAAAAUUGGGUCCCAAAUGGUCUACGAACUCGGAAACAUUGCGUAGAACCACUAAAUGACUUAUCUAGUGUUGUUUGGAAUAAGAAUAUGUUAGAUUACAAUAUAUUUAAUUGAUUACAAGCGCUAGAUAUGCAUGAAGAGUGUUAAGAAGUGUGUAAAAAUACUAGUUGAAAUUUGGUCCCAAAUGGGCUAAGAAUCUAUAAACAUCUCUUUUGAGCUGUUAAUGGUUUGUCUAGUGUUAUUUAGGGUUAGAACAUGUUUGAAUACAACAAAUUUGAUUGAUUACAAGGGGUAGAGAUGCAUGAAAAGUUUGUAGAAGUGUGGAGAAAGACUUGUUGAAAUUGGGUCCCAAAUGGGCUAAGAACUCGGAAAUAUUGCGUUGAACCACUAAAUGACUUAUCUAGUGUUGUUUAGGGUUAGAAUAUGUUAGAAUAUAAUGAAUUUGAUAUAUAACAAGUGCUAAGAUGCAUGAAAAGUGUUUAGAUGUGUUGAGAAAGACUUGUUGAAAUUGGGUCCCAAAUGGGCUACGAACUUGGAAACAUUGCGUUGAACCACUAAAUGACUUAUCUAGUGUUUUUUGGGGUUAGAAUAUGUUAGAAUACAAUAAAUUUGAUUGAUAACAAGAGCUAAAGAUGCAUGGAAAAUGUUUAGAAGUGUGUAAAA
This 2219-nucleotide long non-coding RNA is filed under the name Capsella rubella. Its description in RNAcentral is "long non-coding RNA (CRUB_LNC000481)". Lineage: Eukaryota; Viridiplantae; Streptophyta; Magnoliopsida; Brassicales; Brassicaceae. The record is from RNAcentral.